AGAGUUUGAUCCUGGCUCAGGAUGAACGCUGGCGGCGUGCCUAACACAUGCAAGUCGAACGGAGUUACGAUGAAACCUAGUGAUUCGUAACUUAGUGGCGGACGGGUGAGUAACGCGUGGAUAACCUGCCUUACACUGGGGGAUAACACUUAGAAAUAGGUGCUAAUACCGCAUAAGCGCACGGAGCCGCAUGGCUUAGUGUGAAAAACUCCGGUGGUGUAAGAUGGAUCCGCGUCUGAUUAGCUGGUUGGCGGGGUAGAAGCCCACCAAGGCGACGAUCAGUAGCCGGCCUGAGAGGGUGAACGGCCACAUUGGGACUGAGACACGGCCCAAACUCCUACGGGAGGCAGCAGUGGGGAAUAUUGCACAAUGGGGGAAACCCUGAUGCAGCAACGCCGCGUGAGUGAAGAAGUCAUUCGUGAUGUAAAGCUCUAUCAGCAGGGAAGAAAAUGGCGGUACCUGAGUAAGAAGCCCCGGCUAACUACGUG
RNAcentral lists this ribosomal RNA (488 nucleotides) under uncultured Lachnospiraceae bacterium. Its description in RNAcentral is "bacterial SSU rRNA". It matches the Rfam family "Bacterial small subunit ribosomal RNA", at positions 8 to 507 of the family's 1533-position model. The record is from RNAcentral. Lineage: Bacteria; Bacillati; Bacillota; Clostridia; Lachnospirales; Lachnospiraceae.